GUGGUUGUGGUGAUGGGUGGUGGUCAGCUCACAUAAAAGAGGAGCAAAGAGAGUGAGGGAGGAGAGCAGAAGUGAGCCAGAGGCAGCAGCAGAGGAGAGCUGCACUUGAACCUGUCUGUGGGACCAGAUUGGUCUGGAGGUUAGCAGGUUGCUAUGAUCCAACCACAAAUUGCUCCCAUUUGUCUGGUGGAAAACCACAUUGAAUGGCUGUCAGUGAACCAGAAAGCCAUAGAGAUUCUGGACAAGAUUUCUCAGCCAGUGGUAGUCGUGGCUAUUGUUGGAUUGUAUCGUACAGGGAAGUCCUAUUUGAUGAACCGUCUGGCGGGACAGAAUCGCGGCUUCCCUCUGGGCUCCACCGUGCAGUCGCAGACCAAGGGCAUCUGGAUAUGGUGCGUGCCACACCCCACCAAGCCAAAGCACACCCUGGUCCUUCUGGACACGGAGGGCCUAGGGGAUGUGGAAAAGGUAGAAUCAGGCUGUGACUGGCGCUUUUGACCUCUUGAUAUAUACCUGUAUGAUCUCUUUGUGAAUUCUUGAAAAACCCCCAGAGAGGACCUUUCCCUCAGGAGGAGUCCCAAGCGCCCAAUGACCGAGCUGAGUCCACUCGGAUGCAAUCAGCAAGAGGGUUUAUUGGAAAACACAGGUACCUGCGGGCACACAGUCUCUUCGGAGGACUUGCGCGCCUAGCAGCUCCAGCAUGGGGCUUUUAUAGGGUUUGGGGAAGCAGAAGCGGGCAUACAGAAGCAGAUGCAUAGUUACGGGGAUUGGUGGAUUCAAACGAGGCACAUAGACAUGUUCACAUAUGAUUGGCUAUUUCACAUGAUGAGGUAAUAAGGUAUAGCUACACACAUUGGCAGGUUUGGGGCGUCCUGGAUGUCAGGGGCUGGGGGCUUAUCUCUUCCUGCCAGGUGGACUGUGAGUCAGAUCCGGUACUCCUGGUCUGUUCUGCAUUCCUUUCCCUUUAUGGUCUGUUAGUUCUAGCGGCAGGGCAGGGCUGCCUGGACUUGCUUUUCACAAUGUUUAGUCCUGAGUCUGUGAACCCUUCCAACUCCAUAUUUUUAAACCCCAAAUCUGUAUAAUUUUCCCUUCAUUCUGACUGAACUGCAGCAGGUGAGAUAAACAGUGCUCUAUCUAGACUUCACUCUCAGAUAAGGUUAGGUGUACCCUAAUAGGCAAAAUAUGCUUUCAUUUCUUGCCACUUGGGGGAAUAUUUGAUUCAGUUUGACAGAAGUUUAUUCAACAGUUAAAAUUCCUGGAUUCUAGGCAUAGUAGUUAGAUUUUAGUGAAAAAAAAAAAAGGUUCUUCCUUCCAAGAACCUUCCUAACCUUACUGAGAAUCCUGAAAGACCCCCAGAGUGGAGAGACCGCAACCCAAGCCUCAGGAUGAUGCGACCCCUCAAGAACUCAGGAGAGAUUGAUCUUGAUGCAAUCAACAAGAGAUUUAUUGAUAGGGAUGACAGAAACCAGUUCACUGGGGUGGAGACUCGUAUCCCAGGCAGGGGUAGAGGAGUUUGACCUCGAAUGGUUGAAAGAAGGGGUAUUUAAAGGAAAAACCAUACCGAAUCACAAGGAAGAACCUCCUGUUUCUCAUAAUUGUUACCAAAUCACAAGGAAGAACCUCCUGUUUCUCAUGAUUGUUCUUUAAGAUUUUAAUCUAACUUUAUGGUUAGAUUUAAUGUGGUUUAAUGUUUUAUUUUAAAUUAGAUUUGCCCAUUGCUUUGUUGUUAGAAUUGUUGUUUGGUAGGUUUCUCUGUGUUGCCCUGGCUGUCUUAGAACUCAUUCUGUAGAGCAGGCUGGCCUAUAUCGCAGAGAUCCACCUUCCUCUGCCUCCAGAAGGCUGGGAUUAAAGUCAUGUGCCACCAUUGCCUGUCCAUAAAAUUCCUUGUGCCCGUCAUGCCUGUUGUCGGGAAGUAGGCUCCAGUAUUGUUGCUGUGGUUUAUUUUCUCUACCCUGAGCAGUGCUGGGAAUUCAGCCCGCAAUAGGAUGCCUGCUUUACAAAUCCAUAUGUCAGUAUGUAAAACAUAUUCACUCCCACAAUUGCAUACAAAACAUGACAAAGAAACAAAACAACGGGUGGAAACAAAGUAACAACUUCCUGGAAAGAUCCUGACUUUUAUUUCAGCAACUAAAUAUAAAUGUAUUUAAUUAGGUAAAUAUUUAGAAAAUCAUUAAAGAGGAUAACUGAGAGUGGAUAACAACUUCCAAAAGAUAAACAACUGAAGGAAAUAAGCCAAAGAUAACAGCAUAUAGUGGAUGAGUAAUAAAUACUGAAUUUCACAAGAUAGAAAUUUUAGAAAAGUUUGUACAUAACUCUUUAAAAAUUCAGGAGAAAGCAUCUACAACUGACUAAAUGAACUGAAACAUAAACUACCAGGGUUUCAAAGUCAACAUGAUGUAAGUUAUUGCUCUCAGAAAAGAAUCAAAAAGAAUUGUGAUGACCUCACUUGCAUGACCUCCAGGAUGUGACUGAGAGAUCAAAUAAGAGUGUUUUUUAUUAGAAUAUGAAAGACCCCCUCCCAGAAAGGGAAUUGUACAAGCCCAAGGCCCUCAACUAUAGAAGUAAAAAGUAAGUUUUUAGAUAUGUGGGACAAGCUGACCCAUCAUUUAGACGAAACAGACCAGAAAAGAAAACAAAAUGCAGAAACCAGACUAAAUUAUGGACAUUGUUCCAUGGGCCACCUGGCAGGAAAAAGAAACAAUCCCUGACCCCCCGGAAGCCCUGACCACCAUGUACUUUUUGCUAACUCACUGUUAUGAUUAUAGCGAAAAUAGGUAACAUACACGUAUGCCUCAUUUACUCCACCAAUCACAUCCCUGUAACCAUACAUCUGCUUCUGUAAGCCUGCUUCUGCUCCCCAAUGCCCUAUAAAAACCCGUCCCUGGUUCUGCUAGGCGCGCCAGUCUUCCAUAUUGACUGGGACGCCCACAGAUACCUGUGUAUCCUGAUCAAUAAAAAUCCUCUUACAGAUUACAGCCUGUGGACUCGGUCUGGUCAUUGGGCUUGAGGAUCUCCCUCCUGAGGGAAGAUUCUCUCUGAGAGUCUUACAUAUGGGGGCUCGUCCGGGAUGGGAGAUCCUCUGCCUAGAGACCACCGACCACCCUCCGGGAGGUAAGCUGGCCAGUGUUUGUCUUGUCCUGUCUUGUCUUGCUUUGUGACUUGUUCUGUAAAUGCUUAGUUACUUGGCUUGGGUUUGUAUUUGGGCGGGCCAGAGAAGGAGCUGACGAGCUCGGACUUCUCCCCCGCAGCCCUGGAAGACGUUCCAAGGGUGUUUGGAGCCUGGUUUUUCGGGGCUCAGCCUGUAUCGGAAGGAUACGUGGUUUUGGGUUGGAGGAGAGAGGAGAGAGCCGGAUCCACUGAAGGAUCCGGACCCUCAUCGCCUCUGUCUAAAUUUUUGGUUUCAGUUUGACACCGAAGCCGCACGGUGCGUCUGUCUGUCUGACUGUUGGAAUUGUUUGUCUUCUUUGUGUCCUAAUUUUCUUUGAACAUCUGUAGAAAUUGGUUAUAGGAUGCUUUGUCUUGGUCUUGUUUGUCUGGGUUGUUUUCUGUGGUAUUGUCGAGUGUCUUUUUGGCUUUUGUUUCGUUUUUGGACUUUGGAUAGACAACUGUGUUUAAAAUCUUGGACUGACGACUGUGUUUGAAAUCAUGAAACUGUUUGCUUUGUUUGUCAAGGAGUUUUACUUGGUCCUCUUGGUGCUUAACUUGGAAAUAAUUUGCUUGAGAAAAAUUGUUUUAUCUUUCUCUCUUAGCCUCCUCCCCAAGGAGAGAUGCCCCUCCCUUUGCUCCCCUUGUCCAGUCUAGCUGCUGUUAACAGUUGUGUAUGAAGAACUCCAGGUUAGUGAGUGACCCUGUCUGAAGCAGGUAUUAACAAGAGCCUGAAAGCUUUACCUUAGAUCCUGAAGAAAAAUUCUCCCUGUUGCUUAAACAUUCACAGCUUCUAAGGAAGGGACAACACAGAGUAGAAAAAUAUAGGGGCCGAGGGUGACAAGCAUGCAGGCCUGCUAGCAAGCUGCAGGCUGCGCGUGGGCAGUGGCGCAGCUCUGGCCAAGUCAGCGUAAGAGGAGUUUCAAGGUGAUGAGGCCGGCCGGCUUUGACAAGAAGAUAGCGUAGAGUUAGUGGUUGUUUUAUGAGACUUUUGGCCCUGAAAAAAAUAAUAAUUCCAGUUGCUGCCUUCAGUGGCCAGACCUUCAACACUUGCUCACAGAAGGAGAGCAUUCAUUAAGAGAAGUUCUUUAAGGGAGCCUGCCUUAUCUGCUGGCCCUAUUCCAAGAGAGGAGUUGAUCUCCAACAUUAAGUAACCUUCCCUGUUAGUCAUCAUUGACAUGGAGAGUGCCUUUGAUCCUAUCCCCACAGCAGCCAGUUCCUGCCCCUGUGGUCAAAAUGCCCCAGGUUGGGGGACAAAAAAGCCCCUAAAAUAGUUUCAAAAAGAAUCUACAACAAACUGAGAAGAACUUUGUUUUGCCAGUCAAAAUUUAGAAUUCAGGCUUUGGCUGUGGCCAAGGUCAGGAUUAAUGUUUUCUUUUCCAUGGGCCUUUAACCCAGUGAGACAGUUUGGUAGAGGGCUGCUACUGAGGUCCUGAAAGUCCCAGGUGAACCGGUUACAAUUCUUUUGUCAGCCACUUGGCAUCUAGCACCCAGGUCCUAACCAUCUCUCCAUCCUUUUGUUAUUAGUUCUUAAGUCCAGAGAGAUGGUCGGUAACAGAUCAGCUCCCUCUGCUUGCCGUUCUGUUUCACAGACACAAAGCUUGUGCUUAUUUUUACAACAGCCUUUUUGUCCUAAAAAGUCCUCCUGGUUUAGCUGUGUGACUAAAUGCUAUUUGUCCUCUUCAGUGGACCUCUAUUCUCAAGAUUCUCUUGUUUUCUCACCAUCCCAUUUGAGAUGCUUGUUAGUAACUGUUACAGGUCUUCUUUACCACCGAGGAAAGACAGAAUCCUACUAGAGACCAGAAAGAAUGUUCCAGACAUGGAUGGAAGGCCCUCACUCCUGACUGUUGACUUGAAUACCCCUGAAGGUAGGGAGUGCUCCGGGUCUGCCACCAGGCUCCAAGGGUGGGUCUCCGAGGGGCUGGAAAAUGCCCCACCAAUCUGGCUAAGAUAAGGAAAAGAUAUAAAGAGAGAAAGUUACAGAAAUUUGAAGGGUUAAGCUAAGUUGCUGAGAGUUAGUAUAAGUUACAGAGAAAGUAAAGUUAAAGUGUAGUUACAUAAGUGGACAGCAUCUAAUAGCUGUAGAGGAAGAUACAGAAGAUAUGAGAGAGAGACUGAAGAAGAGAAGAGAAAAAAAGAAGAAAGAAGGUAAAAAGAACAGGAAGCUAAGGAAGAAAAGAGACAAAAGGAAAAAGAAGCUAGAGAGCUAAAGAGGGAUAAAAGACAGGAGAGGAAUAUAUACUGGCCACAGUAGUUAGGGAACCUAGGAAGACAGUACCUGGCAACAGAAGAGAAUUCCUAGCUAAAGAUCAGUGUGCCUAUCGCAAGGAAAAAGGACACUGGGUCAGGGACUGCCCCAGAAAGAACAAGAGGGGCCUCUCCAGCAGCCCGGAAGGCAAGCCUCUUGGUCCUAGAGUGCUGGCUAUGCGCUAAGAUAGAAGGGAAGCCUGCCCAGUUGUUUUGUGAAUACGGGGGCCCAACACUCUGUGCUCCUACGCCCAAAUGGGCUAGUGUCCAGCAAAAGACCUUGAGUACAGGGGACUACCGGCAACAAAUGAUACUCAUGGACUACCAGAAGAACGGUGGAGCUUGGCGUGGGCCGGGUAUCCCACUUGUUCCUUGUGAUCCCAGACUGCCCCUACGAGUCUAAACCCUGCAACCCUGCUCCCGGACCCCGACCUAGACACCCCCCUUUAUGACUGUCAGCAGGUGCUCACUAAAGCACAGGGGUGGCAUAAAGAUCUGACUGGCCAGCCACCAAAGAGGGUAGAUGCCAUCUGGUUCAUAGGUGGGAGCAGCUUCUUACAGAAGAAAAAAGAUGGGCUGGGACAACAGUGGUAGAUGGAAACAGAGUCAUUUGGGCUCAGGCCCUACCAGAAGACACCACUACUCAGGGGGUAGAGCUCGCUCCCCUCACCAAAGCCCUUGAGCCGAGAAGGAGACUUAACAUCUAUGUGGACAGCACGUAUGCCUUUGCUACAGCCCAUCAGCAGAGGGGCCUGCUGACAUCUGAGGGCAAGAAAAAAAAAAGAGAUUCUGGCUCUGUUAAGGGCCCUACAUGACCCAGCCAGGCCGAGGAAGAGACUCUGGUACACCUCAACGAGAAAGAAGAUCCUGCUACAAUUUUUACAGGCAGAGGCCAUGGUAAAACAAAUACAUCAAUGGACUCACUUAGGGGUAAGCAAACUCAUCCAGACGUUUUCAAAAACUAAAUAUUAUGUUACAGGUCUCAAGUAUCUCUUAGAACAGAUAGUGCACUGAUGUAUACCAUGCCAAAAGGUAACUGUUUUCAGGAAAGUUGACUCUGGUAGGAGGCUCCGUGGGGAAUGGCCUGGAUCCUACUGAGAAGUGGACUUCACAGAGAUAAAACCAGGAAAAUAUGGUUAUAAAUGUCUCCUAGUGUUUAUAGAUAUCUUUUCAGGAAUAGAUAGAAGCUUUCCCCACCAAACAUGAGACGGCCUCUACAAUCAUCAAGAAGAUACUGGAAGAAAUCUUCCCCCGAUUUAGAAUGCCCAAGGUAAUCUGGUCAGACAACAGUCCUACUUUCGUUGCCAAGGUAAGCCAGGGUGUGGCCAGAUAUUUAGAGGUUGAUUAAAAAUUACGUUAUAUUUACAGACCUCAAAGUUCAAGACAGAUAGAAUAAAUAAAUAAAAUUUUAAAAGAGACCCUGACCAAAUUGACCAUGGAGACUGACACAGACUGGGUGACACUCCUUCCCUCUUGCUCUCUUCAGAGCAAGAAAUACCCCUUCCAGAUUCAGCCUUACCCCCUUUGAGAUCUUAUAUGGGGCCUCAGCUCCCCUGACUGUAUUAGAUGAUGUUACUGAACCAACAUGUCAUAGUAAUAAUGAUUUAUACAGAAAGAAAUCUGCUCACAGCUGACAGCAGCCUAUGCCCCGGAGACCCCUGAGACAUGUCAUCAGUUCCAGGUUAGAGACUACAGCUACACUGAGCCCAGACACUCGAGCCUCGCUGGAAAGGACUAUACCUGGUGAUGCUGACCACCCUGACAGCCGUCAAUUCUCAGCCCUCACCAGCAGCGUACUAGCUGUUGGGGCUGAGAGCUGGGACCUAGAGGGACACUCAGAUCUUCAAAAAGCUCCCUAGACUUAAGUGACUGAGAGGUUGCUAUAAUGCUCACUUGAAGAGUGUGUUUUAAAAACAAAAAUUUCAUGUUUGCCUGUUUGCCCUGGGUUCCCUCGGAAUAGGUGUAAGGAUAGGCUUGAUUUUUAUUGCAAAUGAUAUAACAUUACAUAUGUUAGUACUCCUAACACUUCUUGAGACUGUGCCUCAGGGAUCACAAUCUAUAUAAGUUUAAAAGUUCUAAAAGACCUUGGUGUAUAGGUUCAGAUAGUGUCCAGAUUAAAAUCCUGAUGCUAAAGACUUAAUAAGACACAAAAGAGAGUUAAAAAUUAUUUAAGGCUAUCUAGGUGCUACAAGGACAGCACAAGGACAUCUACAGUUGCCCUACAAUACAAGGCUUAUAGAGAAUUAGGAACUGCCAUUGACUCAGAUAUAAAAAGAAUAAAAAAGACUUUUUAGCUGACCUCCAAGAAUACUUAACCUCCCUCUCAGAGGUAGUCCUUCAAAAUAGGAAAAGAUUAGACCUGAUAUCCUUUAAAAAAGGAGUCUGUGUGCUACACUAAAAGAAGAAUGCUGUUUCUAUGCAGAUCAGACAGGAAUAAUAAGAGAUACAGACUUUCAGUCAUUCAAACUUUUGUGCUGAGACAACAGUAUCAGAUGGUGAAACAACAAAAAAACAGAGGUACCUUAACCAAGUUGAGUGGAAGAUUCCACUCAAAGACAAAAAAAGAAAAUGGGGGAAUGAAAGACCCCCUCCCAGAAAGGGAAUUGUACAAGCCCAAGGCCCUCAACUAUAGAAGUAAAAAGUAAGUUUUUAGAUAUGUGGGACAAGCUGACCCAUCAUUUAAACGAAACAGACCAGAAAAGAAAACAAAAUGCAGAAACCAGACUAAAUUAUGGACAUUGCUCCAUGGGCCACCUGGCAGGAAAAAGAAACAGUCCCUGACCCCCCGGAAGCCCUGACCACCAUGUACUUUUUGCUAACUCACUGUUAUGAUUAUAGCGAAAAUAGGUAACAUACACGUAUGCCUCAUUUACUCCACCAAUCACAUCCCUGUAACCAUACAUCCCUGGUUCUGCUAGGCGCGCCAGUCUUCCAAAUUGACUGGGAUGCCCACAGAUACCUGUGUAUCCUGAUCAAUAAAAAUCCUCUUACAGAUUACAGCCUGUGGACUCGGUCUGGUCAUUGGGCUUGAAGAUCUCCCUCCUGAGGGAAGAUUCUCUCUGAGAGUCUUACAAAUAGAAUGCUGGAAUAUGGACUAAAGACAUAGGAAACCUAUUCAGUGAGACAUUAUUAUUAGAAAGUCUCCUCUAUCUAUUGAAAUACUAGGACAUCCAAGUACAGAAAUAAUUAGACCACCUGAUAGAUGACCUAAAACAGUCUUGUCUUAUGCUGAGCUUGCAGAACAGGAGAACAAUACUGCAGGGUACUACAGAGGGGUGCCAAGGGACUUACAAAGUACCCAACUGACAAACCAUUCAGAACAACAGGGCAUUUCUUGAUAGAAAUCUUCAAGGCCAGAGCAUGGAACGAUGCACUCUGAGCACUCAGAAAAUAACUGAGAGCCAGCAUGGCAACAGAAAAAAGUGUCCUUUUAAAAACCUUCAGGAUGGGUGUGACUAAUGCAAUGUGUGACCACUGCGCCAUCACUGAAGAAGUUACUUACAGGAAAAUUCUAAACACAAGGAAGAAGACACAAUCAGGAGUGCAGGAGAAAUAAAUCUUGCAGUUCUAAGGAACCAACAGCAGUAACUCGGUAAGUGCUGGUGAGCUUUUCAUCAACGUGAUGCACGCACACUGGAGUCACCUGUGAAGAAGAGACCUCAGGUGAGCAACCGUACCCAUCAGGUUGGCAAGGCUGUUGGGGCGUUUUUGAUGGAUGAUUGAUGUGGGAGGGCCCAGCCCACUCUGGGUUCCUGGAGUGUUUAAGAAAGCAGGCUGAGCAAGCCAUGAGGAACAACUAGUAACGCGUAUUCCUCCAUGGUCUCUGAUUCAGUCCCUGCCCGAGUUCCUGCCUUGGUGUCUCGCAGGGAUGGAUUGUGAUGUGGAAGGGUUAAGCCAAAUAAACUUUCUCCUCCCCAAGUUGCUUUUCAUCAUGGUGUUUUACCACAGCAAUAGAGAGCAAACUAACAUCGAGACAGCAAACUUCUAGGAAGAAAAAAAGAAGCCGAGGGAGAAAAAUCUAAAGAUAAAAGAAGCCCCAUUAAUUUAUUAAUUAAUUUAUAGGAUUUCAUUCAUCCCACAGGUUUUAACCUUGACUCAAACAUAAAUAGAAUUGAAAAGCAAAAAUCAGUAAGCAAUCACUGAUUGCAGCAGGAACUCACCGAGCUGGCAGAGGCAUACCAAGACUGAAAGUGAAAGGAGCAAGAAUGAACAAAUGGGACCUCAUAAAACUGCAAAGCUUCUGUAAGGCAAAGGACACUGUCAUUAGGACAAAACCACAACCAACAGAUUGGGAAAAGAUCUUUACCAAUCCCACAUGUGAUAGAGGGCUAAUAUCCAAAAUAUGCAAACAACUCAAGAAGGUAGACUCCAGAGAGUCAAAUAACCCCAUUUAAAAAUAGGGUAAAGAGCUAAAAAAAGAAUUCUCAGCUGAGGAAUAUGGAAUGACUGAGAAGUGGCUUAAAGAAAUGUUCAACAUUCUAAGUCAUCAGGGAAAUGCAAAUCAAAUCAAUCCUGAGAUUCCACUUCACAUCAGUCAGAAUGGCUAAGAUAAAAAACUCUGGUGACAACAGAUGCUGGCAAGGAUGUGGAGAAAGAGGAACACUUCUCCAUUGUUGGUGGGAUUGCAAGCUGGUACAACCACUCUGAAAAUCACUCUGGAGGUUCCUCAGAAAAUUGGACAUAGUACUACCUGAAGACCCAGCUAUACCAUUCCUGGGCAUAUACCCACAAGAUGCUCCAACAUAUAACAAGGACAUGCUCCACCAUGUUCAUAGCAGUCCUAUUUAUAAUAGCCAGAAGUUGCAAAGAACCCAGAUGCCUUUCAAUAGAGGAAUGAAUACAGAAAAUGUGGUACAUCUACACAAUGGAAUAUUACUCAGCUAUCAAAAACAACGAGUUUAUGAAAUUCCUCCAGGUAAUCAGGGCUACUGUGAGAAUCCUAUCAGCAGCACUAUACUCCACGGGGAAUGACUGAAAUUACUUCCUCUAACAUCAACAUGGAGCCAAGGGUGACCUUUCCAUCAACUAUUAUUUAAAAUAAGUUUGAGACAUCAGAGCAGUAAGUCAGGAGAAAAAUACAAAAGAGAUACAAACCAGAAAGGAAGAAGUCAAAUUACCCUAUAAGUAGAUGAGAUGCUUCGAUAUUUAAAAUCCCUCGGGACUGGCAGAGCGCUUGCCUGGCGUAUGCAAGGCUCUGAAUUUGAUCCUCUAAACCGUACAGGAUGAAAAAGUGUCUGAACAGCAUCCAGGGUUCAACCUGAUGGCUCUGCACAAGGCUGAUGAUCCGAGUUGUAGCCCCGGAACUCCAUAGAACUCCAUAGAAAGGAGAUUAAGGAGCCAUGCCUUGGUAAUCCCACCUCAGAAUUCACUCGGAAGCUGAAGGGCCAUCUGACCUGGAACACUGUGCUGAAUGAAACAUGGGAGGGACUUUGCCUCAAAAGUUGCAAGAACUGACUUUACAAGUACCCUAGGAUCUCCCUCCACAGUGUUCCGCCCCGCCCCGCCCCGCCCCUUCCCCAGACCCUGAAAAGUCCCAGAAACCCUGCUGAAAAGCAUCUCCGGAUUUAAAUAAGCAGCGUAGGUGCUGGAAACAUGCUUGAGCACCUGCGAAUGUACCCGGAAGUACAGACUGUGCACUGUAAAUUGGAGAGGUGUCUAAUGUUAACUCUGAAAUAAUAAAGCCAGUCCUGUUCUCCCACACUCACUGCAGGCAGAUGCAGGGGGGAAAAGAGCAACUCACCGCGCUGCCCAAGGAGCCUGUAGCCUCUGCCAGAGUCCCUUGCUUCUUCCCAGAGGCUGCCAGGGAAGGAAGGUGAAGAUCUGGCUGUGAUCUGGGCGGAGCAGGAAGAGAGGCUUGGAAGUUGCACGCCAUGGGGUGGGGAGUCAGGGUUCUUAUGAGCUAAGUGGUUGGGGUGCCACGGGGUCAGCAAGACUGAGAGAGCUGGGCAGUCCGCACUAUGCCCUAGAUCAGGGUCGAAUCAGUGCUGGAUGUUGAGGAUCUGACAUCUGGAUGAAGAGGGGGAAAGAAAAGUAAAAGUGUCCUUUUUUCCUCUUAUUAAUUGGAUUGGCGGCGGGGUAGCAAUCAGAAAGUGAACAUGAGCAUAAAGCAGAAAGGGACAAACAAGGGGUCAUGACUGCAGGGGAUUUGUUUCCUUGGGCGUGAAGGUUGUUAAUAUAACUUCGUUUGUCGUUUCUUUUUAUAAUUCAAGAGAACAAUUGUUCACAGUUGUAAUCUUUGUAACUGAGAGGCUAAGGCAGGAGGAUUGGGUUUGUGUGCCUUGGCUAAACAUUGAACUUUUAUCUCCAAAAGAACAAAAAGACGGAGUGAUUGCACUUGGACUGUUAACCUGGGUCAGACGGUGCUCUGUGUACAGCAACGGAGGAAUCAUAGAACCGUUAAAGUUAAAGGUUGAAGAGUGAAUUUCACUACCCAACCAGUUUUAACAUUCUAGCCUGGAUCAGGGAGGAAGAAGCAUAUCCUCCCCGCCCCACCCCCGCUGCCCCUCCCCAGCAACACACACCUCUAGCUGAGGAACUGUAGACAGUUGGUGACUGCCAGGGGAGGAAAAGUCAGUCAGUUUUCUUCAGGAGAGUGGUCCUCGGUGUGCUGACUGACCAGGGGAGGUUUUUACACUGAGGAGUGUAUGGGCAGCUCUGACUGGACUCCAGGGGUUAUUGAAGGAGAGGAAAGAGGGAGGAGGAGGAGGGAGAGAGGAGGGAGGGAGAGAGAAAAGGAGGAGGAUGCUGCAGUUGGGAGAGGACUCUGAGGGGAAUCCUGUGGGAAGGCAGCAGUGGAGAUUAAGUGAGGCUGACUGUGGUUAAUCCAUCCUAUGCAUUAAAUUCUCGAAAUUCUCAAAGAAUAAACAUUUUAAAUAGCUUUCGUUAGGAUUACCUUUUACUGGAGUCCAAAUACACACAAAGCGAGAAGAGGCCGGGGCAGUGGACUGACUUCUAAGCAUAAGGUCCUGAGUUCAGAUGCCAGCACCCAGGGAAAAGCCUGCCAAUGGGAAGGAGAGGCAUGAGGGUCCCUGGGGCUACUGGCCAGCAUUCUGUCUGUCAGAAAUCCUCUAGUUCAUUCCUCAGGUUCAGUGAGGGAGGGAGGGAAACACCAAUGUCACAGAAUGCAAGAUACAUUUACCAUGUGACACAUUUGUAAUUGUGAAAUUCAGAGGGUUUUUUUUUUUUUUUUUUUUUUUUUAACAGUGCAUUGAGAGCACUUCUGGGAUGAAGGGUAAGAAUACACACCUAUAAUCUCAGGACUCAUAGCCUGAGUCCCAAGGUUUCCAAGUUGAAGGACAGCCUGUGCUACAUAGGAAGUUGUAGCCUGGGCUAGAAAGACUGCUUCUGCCCUCUACUUGGAAUCUAGAACAUAAGAUUUUCAGGUAUAUCCUUAUGAAUUUCUGAACUUUGUUGGUAUCUGAUGUAAUAUGUCUACUGUCGGUGUGCAUUUUUCUUUGCUAGUUUGCUAACAGUUCACCGAUCUGGCUUCUCUCUUCAUUUAUUGUUCGAUGACAUUAUUGUAUUUUUUUCUGUCUCACUGUUGUUCAGUUCUACCCUGCUCUCCCUUCUUCACGUCUGCUGCUGUCUGGUUUGCCAUGUUCUUGUGUUCCCAAGGCAAUGAGGUGGAUCACUGAACAUUGCUUUAAAAAUGAAGAGAGAAGAAAAGGAUAGGAAGACAAGAGACUCAGAGUGUAGACUAAAUGUCAUGUCAGCAACACCUAACCGUGUCUCUCAUGGAUAUCAUGCAAUAAAUUCCCAGACAGAAUAAGGACAUUUUUCAUAAUAUGCCUAUUUCCUCAUAAUUGGGAGAAUUGAGCUGAACUCCAACCUAAGAGUCUACCCCAGUCCUUGUACUUAACAGCUGUAAGAGCAACUACCACUUCAUUUUAUAAAAUAGCCAUUAUUAUAAAAAGUGAAUGAGAGUCUACUGCAUUCUCAGUGAGCUUUUCUACUGAUGCCAGUGAGGACUGGAAGGGAACAAUAGCAGGCAGGGAACUCUUGACACACAAGCACUCAUCGGUAGACUUUCUGGAUUGUGUUUUCCACUUCCUGCACAGGCUCUAGUGAUGAAAGCUGGCAAGGUGAUUACUCCAUUUCUCUACUCUGUGGUAGUGGACUCUGGAAGUGAUUAACAAGGUCAGACAGCAGAAGGCCACAGAAUCAGGACCUGAUACACGGUGAUCACUUCCGGUCCUUCUGAGUUCGGGCUGAGGCCCUUGGGUCUGUUUCAGAGUUGCUCUCCCGGGUUUGGCUCUCACACCUGGUCUCUAAUGAAUACUCCAGAAAAACAGAUCCAGGAUUGUGAGGAGAGACAGAAUUCAGUAAGUGGAGUGUUUGGUGCACAUGCAUGUGCACCUGCUCAGCGCCAGCACACAGGUGGGUCGGCAGCCACACUCUAACUGUAAUGCUGGGACAGUGGAGGUGGGCAGACUUCUGGAAAUCACUGGCCCAUCAGCCUGGAUAACCACUGUGCACAAGCCAAAAGAGAAAAUUGGUCUCAUAAAUAAAUACAUUGUCUCAGUUUGGGUUUUAUUGCUCUGAAGAGACACUAUGACCAAGAACUCUUACAAAGGACAACAUUUAAUUGGGGUGUCCUACAGGUUCACGGGUUCAGUCCGUUAUCAAUUAGCAGGAGCAGGGCAGCGUCCGUGCAGGUAAGGCUCAGGAGGAGCUGACAGUUGUACAUCUUGAUGUGAAGUUUGCUAGGAGAAAUCUGGCUUUUCUGCACUGGGUGGAGCUUCAAAGCCCAGCCCCACAGGGGUGCCCUUCCACCAACAAAGCCACACCUCCUAAGAGUGCUGCUCCCUUUGUCAAGCUUGCUCAAACCACCAUGACGAUCUUCCUAAAAUUUCUGUAUGCAUGAAAACUUUGAAGGUGAAACCAAAGGUAGAGGUAUCCUGCUGUGACUCCAGCGGGUUGGGAGGCAGUGAGGACAACAUGGAUUUUGGGCAAGUUAAUAAACUGAGCAAAGAUAAACUGACUGAGAAGUGGGUGGGGACAAGGCCCGGAAGUGGGUGGGAACAAGGCCCGGAUAUAGAAUACACUGUAGGUGGCAGGAAUGAGCUAUGAAAUCUCUGCCUCACUGGUCAAAGCCUGAACCCCCUAGGAGGCACAGAAUAGGAUUGGGGAUGAAGUGGCUCAUGUGGGCAGGCAGCAGCAGCACUGAGGUAAGUCCAGAGAGACCUAAAUGGAGGACAGGAAGGAGGAUGAAGGUCCCCUAGCUGAGUACUAGCCUACUGUGGCAGCUGUGAAUCCCUGCUAGAGAGAGAUUUUUGUGGUCAGCAGAGUCACAAAGGAAUGACUGAAUGGGGGUAGGGGUGGGGGCCAGCAGGAAGGACAAUGGAAACACUGAGUCUAUAACAAGAGCCAAAAUGGAUAUUUUGUUAUACUACACAUCAAUGUUUAAGAUGUUUAAAAACACUGAUGAGUAUCACUGAUGAGUACUUUCCUUUUAUGGAAAAAGAAUGAAUGAGGGAGUUAUGAAAGGUAAUUGUAGAAACACAAGGGCUAGACCUGUGAAGGUGCAGAUAUAGCAGCUAGUAAACAAUAGCCUGUAAUCUCCAGGGCUGCAAAGGAUCUUGGGAACUAGCAGAUCUGGGAGUGGGCAAUUGUUCCAAGAGGUAGUUUGUACAGACAGAAAUGUGGAAGACCAAGUCCAAACAUCUGUGUCUCAGGAGCGUUCCUUUUGAGAGCCUCUAGUCAAACCGCACACCACCAAGUUAAUCCUGGAGGUUAAGUGACUUUUCACAUCCAGAGUUUACCCUGAAAUGUCACAAUGAAAGAUAAAAGUUUUAAAGUUGCCCCCCUAGACACAAAGUUUAGAGCAGAAGAAACAGGUUAGGCCUCAGAAUUGUAUGUUCCAGGAAGCCUCUCCUGGGAACUAAUGGACCAUGAAGUUAAAAAUCUGAGAAGCAGGAGACAGCUUCUCCUAGGAAACAAUCCUGAAAAACAGAGAGUUUCUCCUUGUGAUUUUUCACUGGUAUUCUUUACACUUUCCAAUGACACCAUCCCUGCCCCCUCGGUUGUGCUUUCUCCCUUUAAAUACCCCUUCUCCCAGCCCCUCGGGGUCAAACUCCACUGCCGCUGCGUGGGAUAUGAGUCUCGACCCCAGUGCACUGGUUCCUAUCUAUAAACCUCAUGUGAUUACAGCAAGGAUAGUCUUGUGUGAGUUCUUGGGUGGUCGCUUCAUCGCAAGACUUGAGUGAGGGUCUCCUCGCUCCGGGGAUCUUUCAACAAGAGCCAUUUCAUAUCAUGAAAACCCUGUCUUUAAUUAUGGCUUUAAUUAUAGCCAACGCCCUCAGUUAAGACUCCUGAACCAUUACACAUCACCACAGAGACGUAUCCCUCUGUGCUGGCUAUUUUUAUGACAACUUGGUCAUCAGAGAGCAAGGAACAUCAAUUGAGAAAAUGCCUCCAUAAAAUAAUACUUUCUUAACUAGUGACUGAUGGGGGAGGGCGCAGCUCAUUAUGGUGGUGCCAUCCCUGGGCUGGUGGUCCUGGGUUCUGUGAGAAAGCACGAUAAGAAAGCCAUGUGAAGCAAGCCAGCACUCAGCACCCUCCAUGGCCCUUCCAGCAGCUCCUACCACCAGGUUUCUGCUCUGCAUUAGAUCCAGUCCUGACUUCCUUAAGUGGUGACCACCAGUGUGGAAGUGUAAUCUGGAUAAACCCUUUCCUCCCCAACUCGCUUUUUCCAUAGUGUUUUGUUUUAGCCACAGAAACUCUGAGACACUUCCCUUAAAUCUCACUUCCUCAAUGAGCUGACUGGGAAUGUUUUUAUAGUCACUCAUUAUGUGUGGGCUUUGGCUUGUUUUUGUUUUGACAUAGUGUCUUUUGUAGCCCAGGUUAGCCUCAAGCAUAGUAUGGAGCUGAGCAUGACCUUGAACCUGAUCUUCCCACCACCAAUCACGGAUCAUUGGCCAUUACAUUCUCACUGUAGAGAUGAAACUGAUACCAAUGGAUGUAAAAUUUUCUAGGACAAAUUCUCCUUUUCCAGGUUAAUUAAAUUGAUGAAUUAUGUCUCAUGAUUUUUAUGGAUGAGACGAACUAGCAUGCAAUACUUCCUAAUGUUAGUUUGGGGCUUGGACUCUGUAGUUUAUCUUGUUGUUUUGUCAAUUUUUAAAAACCAUCGCUGAUUUACAGAAUGAGAUACCAAAAUUUUAAAAAGGAAAACUUCAUUGGAUACUUUACACGAAAGUUGCUUUUCUAUAAUUUUAUUUUUAAAAAUAUACAAUUCCAUAUAUAAUGCAUUUCAGCCAUUUCCCCCUCCGUCCACCUCUCUCAUUUUCCUUACACUCCCUUCAAAUACUCUUCUUUACAAGUCUCUUUCUCACACCCACAUCUUUGUCUUAUGACCCACAGAGUUUAAACAGGGCUGUGUGUGGGAUCAGAGUGUUUCGGACUUUCCACUGGAGUCUCUAGGCUCAAAUGUGAACAUACAUGUGAAAUCAAUGACUGCCUCUCCCCCAUGAUCUUCCAGUAGCCAAUAGUUGAGCAGAAUGGGGGAUGGACCCAUUGAGUUCUCCUCUGCUCCUUCUGUGCUGAUGAGGGAUCCAGUCUUCUGUAGGUAGCCGUAGAGUUGAGACACAGACCAUGGUUGCCUUGGCUGUGCAGGACCACAAUAUUGCAUUUCCACUCCUUCUUCUCAUAUUCUGGCUCCUGCACUCUUUCUACUGUACAAUGCUCUGAGCUAUAGAGGGCACGCAAUAGGUGUCCUGUUGGAGAUAAGCACUGGAGUGUCCCUUAGCCCUGUACUGUGAGCAGCCAUGAGUCUCUACGUUCAUCAGUGUUCACAGCAGAGGGAUCCUCUCUGGGUCAGGCUGGAUGUAGCAUUUGUCCAGGAAUACAAUUACAGACAUACAGAAGAUACUUUGGUAUUUAGUUAAACAACUGAAGAAAAUUCCUCCCCCGGGAUCUAAGAACUUCUAAUGUCUUAACCUGUAAUAACUGCACAUAGGUAAUUGUUAAGAGGAUAAUCAUUAUACAAGCUAAAGCCAGGUGAUUCUCCCAGAAGCCCCACGAUGAGAGAUCGAUGCCCUGGAUCGCCAAGAAUUCUUCACCAGCACAUCUGUAAUUCAACACACACAAAGGAUUUAGAACACCACAAAUCUUCUGAAAGAGCAGAUUUCUUCCUCUUGAGAGGAUGAACCUAUGAGGAGGAAGAAUGGGGAUGGCCUCCUCUGCUUUCACUUUCCCAUCCAUGUCCUCCUGACCAGGAACUGGAAAGGAAGUUGUAUUAGAAGAGCCCAGGCCACACCAGGAGAGAGAAUAUGUGAGAAAUAAGGUCUCUCUCCAAACAGGUUUUCUCAUCAGUAAAUCAAAAUGAAAAA
Rattus norvegicus (Norway rat) is the source of this 17714-nucleotide non-coding RNA. The record is from RefSeq and is a predicted model, not a curated record. Lineage: Eukaryota; Metazoa; Chordata; Mammalia; Rodentia; Muridae.